Molecule: ribosomal RNA, 423 nt
Filed under: uncultured bacterium
Lineage: Bacteria
Description: bacterial SSU rRNA
Rfam family: Bacterial small subunit ribosomal RNA
Source: RNAcentral
GUGAGGAAUAUUGGGCAAUGCCCGCAAGGGUGACCCAGCAACGCCGCGUGGAGGAUGAAUGUCGUAAGAUUGUAAACUCCUGUUAGAGGGGAAGAAUAGUACCGGUUGGACCGGUAUAUGACUGUACCCUCAGAGAAAGCCCCGGCUAACUACGUGCCAGCAGCCGCGGUAAUACGUAGGGGGCAAGCGUUGUCCGGAUUUACUGGGUGUAAAGGGCGCGCAGGCGGGAUAAAAAGUCAGUGGUGAAAUCCUACAGCUUAACUGUAGAACUGCCUUUGAUACUUUUAUUCUUGAGUUCGGGAGAGAGAGACGGAAUUCCAGGUGUAGUGGUGAAAUACGUAGAUAUCUGGAAGAACACCGGUUGCGAAGGCGGUCUCUUGGUCCGACACUGACGCUGAGGCGCGAAAGCGUGGGGAGCAAACA